RNAcentral lists this ribosomal RNA (429 nucleotides) under bacterium. Its description in RNAcentral is "partial 16S ribosomal RNA". It matches the Rfam family "Bacterial small subunit ribosomal RNA", at positions 355 to 776 of the family's 1533-position model. The record is from RNAcentral.
UAGGGAAUCUUCCACAAUGGACGCAAGUCUGAUGGAGCAACACCGCGUGAGUGAGGAAGGUUUUCGGAUCGUAAAGCUCUGUUGUUGGUGAAGAAGGAUAGAGGCAGUAACUGGUCUUUAUUUGACGGUAAUCAACCAGAAAGUCACGGCUAACUACGUGCCAGCAGCCGCGGUAAUACGUAGGUGGCAAGCGUUGUCCGGAUUUAUUGGGCGUAAAGCGAGCGCAGGCGGAAUGAUAAGUCUGAUGUGAAAGCCCACGGCUCAACCGUGGAACUGCAUCGGAAACUGUCAUUCUUGAGUGCAGAAGAGGAGAGUGGAAUUCCAUGUGUAGCGGUGGAAUGCGUAGAUAUAUGGAAGAACACCAGUGGCGAAGGCGGCUCUCUGGUCUGCAACUGACGCUGAGGCUCGAAAGCAUGGGUAGCGAACAGG